UCUUAAACACAAGCCAAUAUGAUUCUGUUCAUCUGGGCAUUUUACUGCAUCCAAGGUUCUUUUGGGCAGGUUGUUGUGACCCAGUCUGAUGAUAAAUCAGUUCAGCUCGGUCAAACAGUCUCCAUUGAGUGUAAGGUCAACACUGCAGUUUAUAGGCUUCCAACAGGCUCAGUAUCCAAAGAUUACUCAUUCUCCUGGUAUCUUCAGAGGCCAGAUGAAUCCCCUAAACUCCUUAUAUAUUUCACAACAAUGAAGCCUUCAAGUGCUCCAUCUAGAAUGAGCGGUGGAGGCAGUUUUCACUCUGGAGGAAAUGGUCUUGAUUUCACUUUGACUAUAAACGAUGCUCAGCUUGAAGAUGCAGGAGAUUAUUACUGUAUGAGUGUCCAUAAUAUCAAUGACAAAUGGGUGUUCACACAGUGAAAACGUGCUGUACAAAAACCUCCCUAUACUGACAAUCUAAGCAGGUUCCAGGUCAUGCUGAAAAACGAAAUCUUCAUCUCCAUAAAGCUUUUCAGCAGAUGGAAGCAUGAAGUGCUCCAAAAUCUCCUGAUAGCUAGCUGCAUUGACCCUGCCUUU
This is a non-coding RNA of Cyprinus carpio (common carp), 576 nucleotides long. Lineage: Eukaryota; Metazoa; Chordata; Actinopteri; Cypriniformes; Cyprinidae. The record is from the annotation of a RefSeq genome assembly.